Molecule: long non-coding RNA, 415 nt
Organism: Spinacia oleracea (spinach)
Lineage: Eukaryota; Viridiplantae; Streptophyta; Magnoliopsida; Caryophyllales; Amaranthaceae
Exons: 2
Source: RefSeq, a predicted model, not a curated record
UUUCGUCAAUCGGAAUAAGUAAUAUCUGGGAUUGUUGAGUUUCUCAGCUCAAUUUCUGAUGCUGCUGUUUCAGAUUUUGACGAUAAAGAAACCCAGAACAAUUCAAUCGUUGUUCUCUCUCAUAUUCACUCUUUCCUUUGAAACCCUUCUCUUGAUCAGGUCUACACUCCGAGGAUUGCGCCUUAUGCGAGGAAUUUGAUGUGGUUCGUGAGCAAUGGGCUAAGUUUUUUACCAGCAAGUAUUUAUUAUUGGCUUUAGCGCGCUUGAUCGAGUUGGUUUAGUUGUUAUAGAAUAAAUUUUAUAUUAAAAUGUAUGUUUAUGUUGAAAUUGGAACAUAUAUUUAAAUGUAAUAUGUGCACUUUGGUUUUGGGAUAUAUAGUAUACAAAACUCCAGUUGUUGUUUUUAUAUUUGUUA